This 76-nucleotide transfer RNA is filed under the name Gordonia phage Bachita. RNAcentral's name for it is "tRNA-Asn". It matches the Rfam family "tRNA". Rfam says of the family: Transfer RNA (tRNA) molecules are approximately 80 nucleotides in length. Their secondary structure includes four short double-helical elements and three loops (D, anti-codon, and T loops). The record is from RNAcentral. RNAcentral also lists the same sequence under 2 other names. Lineage: Duplodnaviria; Heunggongvirae; Uroviricota; Caudoviricetes.
UGGCACGUAGCUUAAUUGGCAAAGUCGUCGGUUGUUACCCGAUUGGAUGAAGGUUCAAAUCCUUCCGUGUCAGCCA